AGGGUUUGAUUCUGGCUCAGGACGAACGCUGGCGGCGUGCCUAACACAUGCAAGUCGAGCGGAGACAUGUUGCGGAAGUUUUCGGAUGGAAGCGAUAUGUUUUAGCGGCGGACGGGUGAGUAACGCGUGAGCAACCUUUCCUUGACAGGGGGAUAACGUACCGAAAGGUACACUAAUACCGCAUAAGGCCACAGCACCGCAUGGUGCAGGGGUGAAAUGGAGCAAUCUGGUCAAGGGUGGGCUCGCGUCCGAUUAGCUAGUUGGUGAGGUGACGGCCCACCAAGGCGACGAUCGGUAGCCGACCUGAGAGGGUGAUCGGCCACAUUGGAACUGAGAUACGGUCCAA
Molecule: ribosomal RNA, 346 nt
Filed under: uncultured bacterium
Lineage: Bacteria
Description: bacterial SSU rRNA
Rfam family: Bacterial small subunit ribosomal RNA
Source: RNAcentral